ACACAUGCAAGUCGAGCGAGGAACUUCGGUUCCUAGCGGCGGACGGGUGAGUAACACGUGGGCAACCUGCCUCACAAUGGGGGAUAGCCNNNNNNAAGGAAGAUUAAUACCCCAUAACACAAAGGAAACGCAUGUUUCUUUUGCCAAAGAAUUUCGUUGUGAGAUGGGCCCGCGGCGCAUUAGCUUGUUGGUGAGGUAACGGCUCACCAAGGCCACGAUGCGUAGCCGACCUGAGAGGGUGAUCGGCCACAUUGGAACUGAGACACGGUCCAGACUCCUACGGGAGGCAGCAGUGGGGAAUAUUGCACAAUGGAGGAAACUCUGAUGCAGCAACGCCGCGUGAGUGAUGAAGGUCUUCGGAUUGUAAAGCUCUGUCUUCUGGGACGAUAAUGACGGUACCAGAGGAGGAAGCCACGGCUAACUACGUGCCAGCAGCCGCGGUAAUACGUAGGUGGCAAGCGUUGUCCGGAUUUACUGGGCGUAAAGGAUGUGUAGGCGGAUAUUUAAGUGAGAUGUGAGGUCCCCGGGCUCAACUUGGGGGCUGCAUUUCAAACUGGAUAUCUAGAGUGCAGGAGAGGAAAGCGGAAUUCCUAGUGUAGCGGUGAAAUGCGUAGAGAUUANGAAG
This 625-nucleotide ribosomal RNA is filed under the name uncultured bacterium. Its description in RNAcentral is "bacterial SSU rRNA". It matches the Rfam family "Bacterial small subunit ribosomal RNA", at positions 51 to 704 of the family's 1533-position model. The record is from RNAcentral.